This 253-nucleotide ribosomal RNA is filed under the name uncultured bacterium. Its description in RNAcentral is "partial 16S ribosomal RNA". It matches the Rfam family "Bacterial small subunit ribosomal RNA", at positions 524 to 776 of the family's 1533-position model. The record is from RNAcentral.
UACGUAGGGUGCGAGCGUUAAUCGGAAUUACUGGGCGUAAAGCGUGCGCAGGCGGUUUUGUAAGCCAGAUGUGAAAUCCCCGGGCUUAACCUGGGAAUGGCAUUUGGGACUGCAAGGCUGGAGUGUGGCAGAGGAGACUGGAAUUCCUGGUGUAGCGGUGAAAUGCGCAGAUAUCAGGAGGAACACCGGUGGCGAAGGCGGGUCUCUGGGCCGAUACUGACGCUGAGGAGCGAAAGCGUGGGGAGCAAACAGG